RNAcentral lists this long non-coding RNA (226 nucleotides) under Phaseolus vulgaris (common bean). Its description in RNAcentral is "long non-coding RNA (PVUL_LNC003453)". The record is from RNAcentral. Lineage: Eukaryota; Viridiplantae; Streptophyta; Magnoliopsida; Fabales; Fabaceae.
CUUGUUGUACGAGAGGGGUUUAACUGUGAACUAGGACGUUCAAUCUUGGCGUUCUUACUCAUAGAGAGGAGGUGUUCUUGACGAACCUACCUUUCCAUUUAUAAGACUUCGAACACAAGGGACAUAAUUCCUUGGCUGACCUCAGCUUCGCUCAAGGGCGAGGAGGAUUUAUCUAGUGAACUAUUUCGUUUAACUUGGCGUUCCCGCUCGAAAGGGGAGGUGUUCU